AUUGAACGCUGGCGGCAGGCCUAACACAUGCAAGUCGAACGGUAACAGGAAGAAGCUUGCUUCUUUGCUGACGAGUGGCGGACGGGUGAGUAAUGUCUGGGAAACUGCCUGAUGGAGGGGGAUAACUACUGGAAACGGUAGCUAAUACCGCAUAACGUCGCAAGACCAAAGAGGGGGACCUUCGGGCCUCUUGCCAUCGGAUGUGCCCAGAUGGGAUUAGCUAGUAGGUGGGGUAACGGCUCACCUAGGCGACGAUCCCUAGCUGGUCUGAGAGGAUGACCAGCCACACUGGAACUGAGACACGGUCCAGACUCCUACGGGAGGCAGCAGUGGGGAAUAUUGCACAAUGGGCGCAAGCCUGAUGCAGCCAUGCCGCGUGUAUGAAGAAGGCCUUCGGGUUGUAAAGUACUUUCAGCGGGGAGGAAGGGAGUAAAGUUAAUACCUUUGCUCAUUGACGGUACCCGAAGAAGAAGCACCGGCUAACUCCGUG
Molecule: ribosomal RNA, 490 nt
Filed under: uncultured bacterium
Lineage: Bacteria
Description: partial 16S ribosomal RNA
Rfam family: Bacterial small subunit ribosomal RNA
Source: RNAcentral